GGGAUGCAGCUCCAGCUCUCACUCGACAUCCCUGCAUGGCACGAAGGUCACCAUUACCCGAAGGAAAUCUGGACAUUCUUCAUCCACUUUCGUAGCAGUGAGC
This 103-nucleotide long non-coding RNA is filed under the name Mustela putorius furo (domestic ferret). RNAcentral describes it as "lncRNA (ENSMPUG00000026982.1)". The record is from RNAcentral. Lineage: Eukaryota; Metazoa; Chordata; Mammalia; Carnivora; Mustelidae.